CUAAAAUAUUACAGCAUCCAUUAUAAAAAUACAGAAUGUUUCUGAUUGAAACUGCAUGUGUUCCAAUGAAAAAUAUUACAUCUUGAAAGCACUUCUGACAAGUGUUCAGUUUGGAGGUUAAUGGCAACAUCUGAGCUGUGGGUGUCAGAAUAAGGGGGAAAUUGGCACUGCAUAUAGAAUAUAGAGGGCAAGCAACCAAGAAGCAGUCAUAGUCAGAUGACACUAUAUUGGUAAGGAAGGUAAAUAGUGUGAAGAUGCAAAACGACUUAGAGCAGUAUAAAGAAAAGAGAUGAAAAAUGAAAUGUUUAGCACAUCAAAAUUCGAUCACCACCAUUAUUGUCAGGUAGAGCUUGAUGUUUUACACCAUACAAGAUUUUAAUGUUCACUGGUGUGGCUGUGGACUUUCUUCCCUCUCUAGAGUCUGUUGAAAGCCUUCAGUUUGUUUGUUAGUAUGCUGUUGAUCUGUUCACAACUGAGCCUCAAUAAGGUUCAAAGGCACCUGGUGCCAAAAGGAGGUCCCAUGCAACGCGUCUAUACGGCAUUUAUUGAAACUGCGUUCUGGCGUCCUAAGAGGAUCACAUGCUUAAGGCCGGGAGAUGGGGAAGAGAAUUGAUUCAGAAGCCAUUUCCCAUUCUCAUUACAAUGAUUCUCAGGAGGAAUGACUAAUUUUGUGCCUUUGUUUUCUUGACACAACAGUCUUUUUUGUAGAAUUUCAGUGUAGAUUUUUCCCAUUACCUAUCUUUAAAAAGAAAAAAAGGAAAGGAACGGAAAGGAAACCUGCCUUUUAAUCUCCCAGUUUAUGUUGUAUUCAUAUAAUUUGUUCUGUUAAGAUUUAUUUAUUUCUGGUUGUUUUUUUUGUUUUUUUUUCAUGGCUGUGUGUUUUAAUUUUUUAUUCAAGAAUUCACUGUGGGUGCUGUUCAUUCCACAGAUCAAUGGAAAUGGGGUUGGGUUUUUUUUUAAUAAGAGAAUUUUGCCUGUUAGCUAGUUAGAGGUUUAUUGUUGUCCUCCAGAUUCCAUUUCAGUCCUCAUUGUGUCCAAGUUUAUAUUUAGUGUGCCACCAAGGAAUUGCUGCCAAAAUUUCAGCGAAAACAAAAAUAAAAUAAAAUAAAAAUCUGGGAGUUUCUCA
Molecule: long non-coding RNA, 1126 nt
Filed under: Pogona vitticeps (central bearded dragon)
Lineage: Eukaryota; Metazoa; Chordata; Lepidosauria; Squamata; Agamidae
Description: lncRNA (ENSPVIG00000005344.1)
Source: RNAcentral